CCUACGGGUGGCAGCAGUGAGGAAUAUUGGUCAAUGGACGAGAGUCUGAACCAGCCAAGUAGCGUGAAGGAUGACUGCCCUAUGGGUUGUAAACUUCUUUUAUAUGGGACUAAAAUGUUCCACGUGUGGGAUUUUGUAUGUACCAUAUGAAUAAGGGUCGGCUAACUACGUGCCAGCAGCCGCGGUAAUACGGAGGAUCCGAGCGUUAUCCGGAUUUAUUGGGUUUAAAGGGAGCGUAGGUGGAUUGUUAAGUCAGUUGUGAAAGUUUGCGGCUCAACCGUAAAAUUGCAGUUGAGACUGGCAGUCUUGAGUACAGUAGAGGUGGGCGGAAUUCGUGGUGUAGCGGUGAAAUGCUUAGAUAUCACGAAGAACUCCGAUUGCGAAGGCAGUUCACUGGACUGCAACUGACACUGAGGCUCGAAAGUGUGGGUAUCAAACAGGAUUAGAUACCCCGGUAGUC
Molecule: ribosomal RNA, 460 nt
Filed under: uncultured bacterium
Lineage: Bacteria
Description: partial 16S ribosomal RNA
Rfam family: Bacterial small subunit ribosomal RNA
Source: RNAcentral